RNAcentral lists this long non-coding RNA (812 nucleotides) under Malus domestica (apple). Its description in RNAcentral is "long non-coding RNA (MDOM_LNC000883)". Lineage: Eukaryota; Viridiplantae; Streptophyta; Magnoliopsida; Rosales; Rosaceae. The record is from RNAcentral.
UGAGCAUGAAUAUUGGAGCUAAAAUUUGGUGCCAUGCUUUUGGGAAAAUUCGGCCAAAAUCAAAGGGUGGAUUUUUGGGUUCUUGAUUGACUUGUUAAAAGUGUUUUAAUGUGUUCUUUGGAACCCCUAAGUACCCUAGUUUGGUUAGAUGUUAUUUCCCUUAAGUAAGAAUGGUUUUUGGAAUGUUUUUGGGUGGAAAAAGUUCAUGGAAAAAUUUGGGUUUUUCAUGGAUGUUCUUCAUUGUUCUUGAUGUUCUUGCCAAGAACAAAAAGGUUUGGUGUUUUGAUUCAAAGUUUUGAAUUAUUUCAUAAAGUAUAUGUGAUAUGUUUUUAAAUGAUUUAUUAUGUAUUUAAAGUGUUAGAUAUUUGUAUAAAUGAUGAUUGAAAUAAUUGUGAUUGAAUUAUUUCAUAAACUUAUCUUACAUACACUUGCAUGUUUUUGACAAAACUCACAAAUCAACACACACACCAACCUUAUCCCUCCCUAAAACCAGCCACUCCCUCAAAGGGAGUACUUUUGGGGCUUUUAUGCAAUUACAUAAAGUUUUGAUACUUUUGUGUAUUUGCACUUUGGUCCAAAAGUUUACGUUUUUACGUUUAGGUCCAAAAACGCUAAAGGACAAAUUGUUUUGUUCCUUUAAUGAAGUUUUUGCAUUAUUAAAAGUUUGGGUUCUAGUUGUAUUUACAUGAAGUAGUGACUUUUGUGUAUUAUACAAAGUGACCCCAAAAGUUUUUGUAUUUGCAAUAUGGCCCAAAAGUUGAGGUUAAUUGCAUGAUGGCCCAAAUAGGAUGAGAACAAAAUUGUUUUGUCUC